This 77-nucleotide transfer RNA is filed under the name Acidimicrobiales bacterium. RNAcentral describes it as "tRNA-Glu". It matches the Rfam family "tRNA". Rfam says of the family: Transfer RNA (tRNA) molecules are approximately 80 nucleotides in length. The record is from RNAcentral. Lineage: Bacteria; Bacillati; Actinomycetota; Acidimicrobiia; Acidimicrobiales.
GCGCCAUUGGUCUAGCGGUUUAGGACGCUGCCCUCUCAAGGCAGAGACCACGGGUUCGAAUCCCGUAUGGCGUACCA